RNAcentral lists this unclassified non-coding RNA (374 nucleotides) under fungal sp. RNAcentral describes it as "partial internal transcribed spacer region". The stretch from base 1 to 46 matches the Rfam family "Eukaryotic small subunit ribosomal RNA", at positions 1786 to 1831 of the family's 1831-position model. The record is from RNAcentral. Lineage: Eukaryota; Fungi.
AAGUCGUAACAAGGUUUCCGUAGGUGAACCUGCGGAAGGAUCAUUAACACGUAUCCAAACGUAAAAAACCCCCCCCGUGAACAUUCAAUCCUGCUCUUGUAACCCGCGUAGUUCGCAAUCUCUGGUAAAUCAUAGCCCGGAAAGUAGUUUUGAUUCAGAGACCUCUGGCUACGUGAGAACAUUGGAACAGUUACAAUCGAGCGGUAGUUUCAUAGGCAUUGUUUCCCCAAGCAGUUAGUGUCUGUACACUCGGGCAGGAGCUAUGCCAAAGGGUCCCCAUGCCCCCUUAUAACCCCACAGUUUCAUGUGAAGCUCGGUGUAAUACAUUGGGUAAAAAAACCGAACAACUGUUAACAAUGGAUAUCUUGGUUCUC